UUUCAGCUGCCGAGUCUCAAAUAAGACGAAACGCGCGUCAAACUGGAU
This 48-nucleotide non-coding RNA is filed under the name Schistosoma mansoni. The record is from RNAcentral. Lineage: Eukaryota; Metazoa; Platyhelminthes; Trematoda; Strigeidida; Schistosomatidae.